CUUUCUUGUUAAUAUAUACAUAUAGAAUUAGGCUGGAAUACUAGUGCUAUUAAGUUUUCUGCCCCUAGAUUAAAAGAUGUGCGGUUAGAAUGAUGUCAGUCCUCUAAGGUUGAGUGGGUGGUUAGUUGAAUAGUAUAAUCGAACGGACGAAAAUGAUAAAAAAGAUAAAUCUAACGGCAGAAAACUUGAUAGUACUAAAUGCUCUAUGCUAUAAAUAGUAUCCCAGUCGGACUCAUAUAUUUAUAUACUAUACUAUCGGGAGUAUAGAGAAUUUGAUACUUCCGACUUUUUGACCCUUAUGUUAAAAAUUAUUUGGUUAGGAUGAUUGCGGUCCCUCCAGUAUUGAGCGGUCCCCAUAUGAUAAUAGUAUCAAUUCAAAUAUUAAAAUUAAUUAAAAGGGUUGAUA
This 406-nucleotide long non-coding RNA is filed under the name Ananas comosus (pineapple). Its description in RNAcentral is "long non-coding RNA (ACOM_LNC022769)". Lineage: Eukaryota; Viridiplantae; Streptophyta; Magnoliopsida; Poales; Bromeliaceae. The record is from RNAcentral.